UACUCCUACGGGAGGCAGCAGUAGGGAAUCUUCCGCAAUGGGCGAAAGCCUGACGGAGCAACGCCGCGUGAGUGAAGAAGGAUUUCGGUUCGUAAAGCUCUGUUGUUAGGGAAGAAUGAUUGUAUAGUAACUAUAUACAGUAGAGACGGUACCUAACCAGAAAGCCACGGCUAACUACGUGCCAGCAGCCGCGGUAAUACGUAGGUGGCAAGCGUUGUCCGGAAUUAUUGGGCGUAAAGCGCGCGCAGGUGGUUUAAUAAGUCUGAUGUGAAAGCCCACGGCUCAACCGUGGAGGGUCAUUGGAAACUGUUAAACUUGAGUGCAGGAGAGAAAAGUGGAAUUCCUAGUGUAGCGGUGAAAUGCGUAGAGAUUAGGAGGAACACCAGUGGCGAAGGCGGCUUUUUGGCCUGUAACUGACACUGAGGCGCGAAAGCGUGGGGAGCAAACAGGAUUAGAUACCCUGGUAGUCCACGCCGUAAACGAUGAGUGCUAAGUGUUGGUCUCAUAAGAGAUCAGUGCUGCAGCUAACGCAUUAAGCACUCCGCCUGGGGAGUACGACCGCAAGGUUGAAACUCAAAGGAAUUGACGGA
Molecule: ribosomal RNA, 590 nt
Filed under: uncultured bacterium
Lineage: Bacteria
Description: bacterial SSU rRNA
Rfam family: Bacterial small subunit ribosomal RNA
Source: RNAcentral